UUGAGUUUGAUCCUGGCUCAGGACGAACGCUGGCGGCGUGCCUAAUACAUGCAAGUCGAGCGGACAGAUGGGAGCUUGCUCCCUGAUGUUAGCGGCGGACGGGUGAGUAACACGUGGGUAACCUGCCUGUAAGACUGGGAUAACUCCGGGAAACCGGGGCUAAUACCGGAUGGUUGUUUGAACCGCAUGGUUCAAACAUAAAAGGUGGCUUCUGGCUACCACUUACAGAUGGACCCGCGGCGCAUUAGCUAGUUGGUGAGGUAACGGCUCACCAAGGCAACGAUGCGUAGCCGACCUGAGAGGGUGAUCGGCCACACUGGGACUGAGACACGGCCCAGACUCCUACGGGAGGCAGCAGUAGGGAAUCUUCCGCAAUGGACGAAAGUCUGACGGAGCAACGCCGCGUGAGUGAUGAAGGUUUUCGGAUCGUAAAGCUCUGUUGUUAGGGAAGAACAAGUACCGUUCGAAUAGGGCGGUACCUUGACGGUACCUAACCAGAAAGCCACGGCUAACUACGUGCCAGCAGCCGCGGUAAUACGUAGGUGGCAAGCGUUGUCCGGAAUUAUUGGGCGUAAAGGGCUCGCAGGCGGUUUCUUAAGUCUGAUGUGAAAGCCCCCGGCUCAACCGGGGAGGGUCAUUGGAAACUGGGGAACUUGAGUGCAGAAGAGGAGAGUGGAAUUCCACGUGUAGCGGUGAAAUGCGUAGAGAUGUGGAGGAACACCAGUGGCGAAGGCGACUCUCUGGUCUGUAACUGACGCUGAGGAGCGAAAGCGUGGGGAGCGAACAGGAUUAGAUACCCUGGUAGUCCACGCCGUAAACGAUGAGUGCUAAGUGUU
RNAcentral lists this ribosomal RNA (836 nucleotides) under Bacillus subtilis. RNAcentral's name for it is "bacterial SSU rRNA". It matches the Rfam family "Bacterial small subunit ribosomal RNA", at positions 1 to 824 of the family's 1533-position model. The record is from RNAcentral. Lineage: Bacteria; Bacillati; Bacillota; Bacilli; Caryophanales; Bacillaceae.